AAAAAAAAAAAAAAAAGUCCCUCCUCAAGCUAGGCUGGUUGUGCGUGUGUGACCGCGCAGCGUCCAAGAUAGGCUGCUAGAAACAUCACCAGCAUCCCGGCCAGCUGCUGUCCACGUCGCCGCUUCCACCCAUGGACGACCCAGUGGCGGUCACGGCUAGUCAGAGCACAAUUAGCGGGAAAGUUAACGAGGCCGACCGGGGGAGCAACACUGACUACACGGCCUUCGUGCUGGUGCCAGUCUUCUUCCUGCUGGGGCUGCUGGGGGUGAUCAUCUGCCACGUGCUGAAGAGGAAGGGCUACCGCUGCACCACCACAGAGGCGCCGGAUGAGGAUGAAGCGGAGCAGGCGUGUGAAGACGAGGAAAAAGAUCCAGAACUGGGCGGAGAGUUCAACGACACCCUCAGCGACAACAAUGACACGGUGGGACAGAUCGUCCACUUCAUCAUGAAAAAUGAAGCCAACUCGGAUGCCCUCAAAGCCAUGAUUAAUGACAACAGCAUUGAUUCUGAUGGCGCACCCGUCACCCCCACCUCCCCCUUCACGCCCUCGCCUCCCACGACCCCCAUAUCGCCCGGAGCGCCCCCUGGGGCCGCUAAGCACACCUGCAACCACCUGCACACGAUUGGCGGCUUAGGCGGCCACAAGAAUAUCUGCACGCGCUGCAGCCAGAAAAAGUGGCCGCUCAUGAGCAAGCCGGCAGCCCGCAAGGCGGAGCCACGCCGCAGCCUCCUCGGCGAAGUCACGGUGCUGUCCGUGGGCAGGUUCCGUGUGACAAAGUGUGAGAAACCUACCAGGGAACGGCGGAUUAUGUUCACAGCGGAUUCCAACGGGAGCGUUCCGUCCGAAGAUGCUGUGUCAAAUAGCCGGACAGUGUCCGAGUCCCAAGAGAAAGCCUGACUAAAACCAAGCCAUCCCUUGGGAAAUAAUGACAAUCCAAAGGAAUGAAAGGCCGAGUCGCACAUUUUUUUCAGAGCUGGGAGAAAAUUUGGGAGGAGAAAGUCAACUUGGACAAGGACAAAUGAGGAAAAAUCCAGCCUCUUCCACGAGAAGACACUUCUUAAGCCUCCCGACGCAAACGUCGACACAUAAGAGCAAUAUCAAGUGUGUGCGCACCCCCUCACGCCCCCACGCAUCCUUCCCCAACGGGACCAGAGACGUGCAGUCACACAAACCUCUUAUUUACCAGCUACGGAGGAGAACGCAAGUGUUCCUUUCUCAUUUAAUAUCCACACGUCAAAAGGCAGGAAGCAAACGUGCGUGCCAAAUUCCACUCGAUUUAAUAAGACUCGGUCAAUCGGUACGAGGAGUCGGACGGAGACAGGAAGUAAGGAUACGAUCAUGUCGUGGCCUCAGGAAGUUGGUCGUCAUAAAGGAACAUAAGCGUCAUAUCGUGCUCCAGCUAGAACUAUAUCGAGUAUUGCAAACGUGUAAAGAAUCGCUUCUAUGUGCCAGUGAAAUAUUUUU
Syngnathus acus (greater pipefish) is the source of this 1466-nucleotide RNA transcript. It is a transcript of the gene named RELT like 1, with no coding region annotated. The record is from RefSeq and is a predicted model, not a curated record. The transcript has 9 exons. Lineage: Eukaryota; Metazoa; Chordata; Actinopteri; Syngnathiformes; Syngnathidae.